This 717-nucleotide long non-coding RNA is filed under the name Medicago truncatula (barrel medic). RNAcentral describes it as "long non-coding RNA (MTRU_LNC005646)". The record is from RNAcentral. Lineage: Eukaryota; Viridiplantae; Streptophyta; Magnoliopsida; Fabales; Fabaceae.
GAGAGAAAGUGGGGUAUCACCUAGGGAAGAUGGAGGAAUCUAGUCUUAGGGUGUUUAUGCACAGAGAGAAGACCUGUAGAUUCGUUAAUAAGAAGAGUAGAUAAGAUGGAGGAUAAUCAAAUAACUAAAGGUAGAGGAUGACCUAGAAAAUGACGGAGAAAUAGAAGCAGAUGUAAAUCAUCGUAUUCAAGCUGGGUGGUUGAAAUGGAGAAGAGCCUCAGGCGUUUUGUGCGAUAAGAAAGUACCACUUAAGCUGAAAGGAAAGUUCUAUCGGACAGCAGUCAAACCGGCAAUGUUGUAUGGUACAGAGUGUUGGGCGGUUAAGAGCCAACGCAAGAGUAAAGUAAGUGUAGCGGGGAUGAGGAUGUUGCGCUGGAUGAGUGGUAAGACUAGACAAUAUAGGAUUAGGAAUGACACCAUUAGAGAGAGUGGGGGUAGCACCUAUAGUAGAAAAGUUGGUAGAAAAUAGGCUUAGAUGGUUUGGACAUGUAGAGAGAAGACCCGUAGAUGCCGUUGUAAGAAGAGUAGAUCAAAUGGAGGAGAGUCAGGUUAAAAGAGGUAGAGGAAGACCUAAGAAAACCAUUCGAGAAACCAUUAGAAAAGAUUUAGAGGUCAAUGAGUUGGAUCCAAAUAUGGUUUUUGAUAGAACACUAUGGCGUCAUUUGAUCCAUGUAGCCGACCCCACUUAGUGGGACAAGGCUUGGUUGUUGUUGUUGU